GUGGGUCCUCGUGCUGUGGGGGGACAUCAUCAGGAAUGUCCUCGUAGGCCUCCUCCUCGGUAGAUUGGGCGAGACGAUAUUGGGGGAGGGUAGGUUCUUCGGUGCCUCUCGAUCAUCCUCAUGCUAAGCACACUCGAGAUGCCUUGUGGAGACAUCUGGCCGAUGAGGGUGAGGGAUGAUUCUUGGGUCGUGGUGUUGAGG
RNAcentral lists this long non-coding RNA (201 nucleotides) under Gossypium barbadense (sea-island cotton). Its description in RNAcentral is "long non-coding RNA (GBAR_LNC007969)". Lineage: Eukaryota; Viridiplantae; Streptophyta; Magnoliopsida; Malvales; Malvaceae. The record is from RNAcentral.